This is a long non-coding RNA of Agrilus planipennis (emerald ash borer), 1190 nucleotides long. RefSeq lists it as uncharacterized. The record is from RefSeq and is a predicted model, not a curated record. NCBI's taxonomy places the organism in Eukaryota, Metazoa, Arthropoda, Insecta, Coleoptera, Buprestidae. The transcript is spliced from 2 exons.
AGUAGCAUUUCUAUUUUCCUUUCCGCAUUUAUGGGGCUUUUUCCUGUUCUCAUUUGGACCUCCAACGGGUCAUAUAGGUUAUACAUAUAUAGUUUAAUCUAAGUUUUAGGUAUUUUUUAAAGAAGUUUUCAAAUCCACCCGGACUCAAAAUUUAAGUACGAAUUUCCCUAUACCGGAAGUUACUGAGUUUCGUAGAACUUAUUUCGUCUUUAGUGGCACUACAGCACACAUCAAAUUUAUUAAAAUUGAUAAAAUUAUUGAUAAGUAAACAACUCCUUGAAUACGUGUAAAAUAGCUGCGUUUUGUAGCGUUGUUUUAUGAUAGAAAGACCAAUUUUUAAUCCUGACAUACUAUCACCUAUCAAUAAAAAUAAAUACAAACUUAAUGAAAAUGAUUAAGUACCUAUACCAUGAAUGAACCAAACUUUAUAUUUUUCCUUACUAUCAUUUAUUUAUCGUUUGUAUGAAAGAAAAUAAUAAUAAGUUCUUGAUGAUAGUAGUUUUGCUUGUCAGAUACGAUUCGUAUUGUUUUUAUUAAUUACUUUUUGUUUUCAUUAAUUUUUCCAACGUCAUCAUUUAUUAUCAGUAGGUAUCUAGCACGUUCACAAUCGAUAAAACAAUCGCCUGAUUCAGUUCAACCUAUAAAAUUUCACUUUCCGUAAUACAAAAUCGAUUAAUCGUAAAUAUCUAUUACAAAUGUCGGCUUUUCGAUUUAAAUAACAUUUAACUUAACAUACAGCAUUUAAAUUAUAAGGCUAUUUGUUAAAUAUAUAAAUAACUACUUCUUAUACUAAUUUUUUUCUCUGUGAAGUACUGCCUGGUUACGCUGACUCUCAGAGGAUUAAAAAAUGGGAAAAACACAGUAUUUGAAGUCCUUUUCCGUUACCAUAUAUUACUGCUUCGUUAACAUCUGUUUUGCUGUAAUUAUUCUGUUUUCAAUUAUUUUCCAUUUAAUGGCAAACAUUAGAAUUCGUAACGAAUAUUACCAUAAGUUUUGUCUUUCAUGAUGAAAAAAAUUUCAAAUACUCGAUGGGACCUGGAUUCGUACCAUUAGGUACUUUUGCAAACUGUUUGAUCUAUCAAAACCCUCCCUGUUUGUGAAAAGAAUGAAAACUCGAAUGUAGUGAUAUUUAUCUGUAUAUAAUUUAUUUAGUCUUAAUACUUACAAUAAACAUUAUCAUAAAGCUUAAA